This 554-nucleotide long non-coding RNA is filed under the name Sinocyclocheilus anshuiensis. RNAcentral's name for it is "lncRNA (ENSSANG00000030042.1)". The record is from RNAcentral. Lineage: Eukaryota; Metazoa; Chordata; Actinopteri; Cypriniformes; Cyprinidae.
CCAUAUCUAAGAUGUCUGGAGAUUAUAUUGUAUAUUAUAUUGUACUGUAUUUUGCUCUAUUGAAGACUAUUGUCUGGCCAUCUCAGGGUUGUCUCAGAGCUAAACUAGGCCAGUCAAGGCUUCUCUGCCCACCCUCCCUGAGAUGGUCAGACAGCUAGCAUUGUUUUCACAUACAAUUUGCUUUGUGCUUGAGUGUGAGAGAGCUCUGUAACCCCACCGUGGAAAGCCUCAGAGAGAGCCCUGCCUUCAAGCAUGAAGGCUUCAAGAGAGCCCUUCCCUGCUGCUGGAAACCUGAGAAACCACGAGGCAAGCACACAAGCCAGGCUGUCCAUCAACAGAACAGGACAUGUCACAGGAAGUUGUUGUGCAAACAGGAAGGACAGAAUGAAGAGUGGAAGAUGACGUCCACAUCAGAGGAAAUACAAUGCACCUUGAGCAUCAUAUGGAAUCCAAAAUCCAAUCAUCAUCAUCAUCUGAGCCAAAUUGCGAGCCGCAUAUCCAGGCAUGGAGAUAAAGCCACAUUCCUCACAAUGACAGAACCUGAGACGCGGUAG